GCGCUCAUAGCUCAGCUGGAUAGAGCCCUUGGCUACGAACUAAGGGGUCGGGAGUUCGAAUCUCUCUGAGCGCACCA
Molecule: transfer RNA, 77 nt
Filed under: Acinetobacter baumannii
Lineage: Bacteria; Pseudomonadati; Pseudomonadota; Gammaproteobacteria; Moraxellales; Moraxellaceae
Description: tRNA-Arg
Rfam family: tRNA
About the family: Transfer RNA (tRNA) molecules are approximately 80 nucleotides in length. Their secondary structure includes four short double-helical elements and three loops (D, anti-codon, and T loops).
Source: RNAcentral